Molecule: ribosomal RNA, 253 nt
Filed under: uncultured bacterium
Lineage: Bacteria
Description: partial 16S ribosomal RNA
Rfam family: Bacterial small subunit ribosomal RNA
Source: RNAcentral
GACGGGGGAUGCAAGUGUUAUCCGGAAUCACUGGGCGUAAAGCGUCUGCAGGUGGUUUCCUAAGUCCACUGUUAAACCUUGAGGCUCAACCUCAAAUCUGCAUUGGAAACUAGGAGAUUUGAGUAUAGUAGGGGUAGAGGGAAUUUCCAGUGGAGCGGUGAAAUGCGUAGAUAUUGGAAAGAACACCGAUGGCGAAGGCACUCUACUGGGCUAUUACUGACACUCAGAGACGAAAGCUAGGGGAGCAAAUGGG